GCUUACGGCCACACCGCCUGGUUCACGCACGAUCUCGUUUGAUCUCGGAAGAUAAGAUAGGGUGGGCCUGGUUAGUACUUGGAUGGGGAGACCGCCUGGGAAUACCAGGUGCUGUAAGCU
This 120-nucleotide ribosomal RNA is filed under the name Scophthalmus maximus (turbot). The record is from RNAcentral. Lineage: Eukaryota; Metazoa; Chordata; Actinopteri; Pleuronectiformes; Scophthalmidae.